Long non-coding RNA from Dromaius novaehollandiae (emu), 396 nucleotides. RefSeq lists it as uncharacterized. The transcript has 3 exons. Lineage: Eukaryota; Metazoa; Chordata; Aves; Casuariiformes; Dromaiidae. The record is from RefSeq and is a predicted model, not a curated record.
AUCUCCUCCUUCCAGACGUUCUUCGUGCCCCAUGUGUCACACAUUCUUCAUGUACGUUCCUGUUUCCCUGCUGCCAUUUCCACCUCUAAAACAGCCACUACUGACUGUCACUGCUGGUGAGGACAAGUCAGUCGUGUUAUUAGGAGUCUAGAGGCCAGCUGUUUCACUGCACUGCUAGUACAGGGAAAAUAACUAGCAUCUCCUCGGAGAACGGGCAAACUGAGACAUCACUCAGGACACGUGCCGCCGAUCUCCAGUUCUUCCUUUUGGUUUUCCACCCUGGAAUUUUUCUGAACCUCAGUUUCUCUGAAGACGUAUGCUGCGGCACAUGUUCCUGGGCACCUUACUGCACCUCCUACUACAUGAUCCAGAUGCUGUUUGAAAGAAAUUCAAAGC